CAUUUCUUGGAAUUCUUGUGAAAUCAAAUGGAAACGUAUUGCAUAGCUCUGAAGAGCUUAUAAAUAAAGCAAGGAAAGUGAUGUUUUCAAUUACAACUUAUACUGGUUCCUUAAAUAAUCUGCCAGUUAACGUAGCUUGCAGUCUUUUUGAUUCUAUAGUUAAACCAAUAGCCACUUAUAAUUCAGAUGUCACUUAUAUGGACACUUUUGUUUCGAAAUUUAGAGCAGAAAAACGGGCAAAUACAUGUAUCUCCAAAACAAAUGUAGACCCCUUAAUUUUACUGAUAAUUACACCUUAUGUAAGAAUCCGGGGUUUUGAUUGGUUAAUAGCCAGUGUAUUUUUCAGCAAUUUACUGUUAUCAAAUGAAUAUCGUUCAUUUUUAACGCCGCCGGGGUAUUUGCUAAAAGGAUAUGCCUUUUUUACCCUCUCUGCCGUGGUAUUUGCCAAAAAAUACUCUAUCCGACUGGACGCUUGUAACGUCACGAUCAUCAAUGCGUUUUAGUACAUUAACAUUCGGUGUAAUUAAACAGAUAUAUCAUGUUAUUGAGGGGUAUUUGCGAAAAAUACCAGUCUUGAGAAUGAAUUUCCCUCGCCUUACGGCUCGUGAAAUUUAACAUUUUCUCGACUGGUAUUUUUCGCAAAUACCCCUCCUUAACAUGAUAUAUCUGUUCAUAAAUCAAGUUUAGAAAAAUACAUUUUUCUUUCUGUAAAUAUAUCCUCG
RNAcentral lists this long non-coding RNA (722 nucleotides) under Mytilus galloprovincialis (Mediterranean mussel). The record is from RNAcentral. Lineage: Eukaryota; Metazoa; Mollusca; Bivalvia; Mytilida; Mytilidae.